CCUACGGGUGGCAGCAGUGGGGGAUAUUGCACACUGGGGGGAACCCUGAUGCAGCGACGCCGCGUGGGUGAAGAAGCGCCUCGGCGCGUAAAGCCCUGUCAGCAGGGAAGAAAAUGACGGUACCUGACUAAGAAGCCCCGGCUAACUACGUGCCAGCAGCCGCGGUAAUACGUAGGGGGCAAGCGUUAUCCGGAUUUACUGGGUGUAAAGGGAGCGUAGACGGCGCUGCAAGUCCGGAGUGAAAGUCCAUGGCUUAACCAUGGUACUGCUCUGGAAACUGUGGAGCUUGAGUGCGGGAGGGGCAGGCGGAAUUCCUAGUGUAGCGGUGAAAUGCGUAGAUAUUAGGAGGAACACCGGCGGCGAAGGCGGCCUGCUGGACCGUAACUGACGUUGAGGCUCGAAAGCGUGGGGAGCAAACAGGAUUAGAUACCCUAGUAGUC
RNAcentral lists this ribosomal RNA (440 nucleotides) under uncultured bacterium. RNAcentral's name for it is "partial 16S ribosomal RNA". It matches the Rfam family "Bacterial small subunit ribosomal RNA", at positions 338 to 795 of the family's 1533-position model. The record is from RNAcentral.